Molecule: non-coding RNA, 115 nt
Organism: Triticum urartu
Lineage: Eukaryota; Viridiplantae; Streptophyta; Magnoliopsida; Poales; Poaceae
Source: Rfam
AAGUUACUCCCUCCGUUCUAAAUUACUCGUCGCAGAAAUGGAUGUAUCUAGAACUAAAAUACAUCUAGAUACAUCUAUUUCUGCGACGAGUAAUUCGGAACGGAGGGAGUAUAAG